RNAcentral lists this long non-coding RNA (585 nucleotides) under Capsicum annuum. Its description in RNAcentral is "long non-coding RNA (CANN_LNC012039)". The record is from RNAcentral. Lineage: Eukaryota; Viridiplantae; Streptophyta; Magnoliopsida; Solanales; Solanaceae.
UUUUUGCGGUACUACAUAUUUCUAAUACGAGAAGGGUGUGAUUAUUUUGCAGCUAAUUCUUCAUUUUAUAUAUGUGGAAAGUUGGUCAAGUUCUCUUUUUUUAUUAUUGAGAAGUUCAGCAUGCUGUGAAUUGUUAGUUUGAACCUGAUUUCUCUUCUGCCAUUAUCAAUGAGUGCCUUUAUCAAUUCAUUGAUUCGAUCUACUUUUUGAAACACUUUUCUGUGCUUGGCAGAAUAUCUUCUUGUAGGUCAUUAUUAAUGCAUGGAUGGUGGUGUAGAGCCGAGUACGUACGUGUUAGAGGAAACGUUUUUGUGUACUGUGCUUUUGGAUGGCCAUAAUAUGCAAUUGUCAAAUAUGUCGAUUUGGUACUGGAUGAUAAUGAUCUGAGAUUUGGAUUGUCCUAAUUGAAGGAGUUUCAUGGAUUAUAAUUUUGAACCUGAUUUCUCUUCUGCCAUUAUCAAUGAGUGCCUUUAUCAAUUCAUUGAUUCGAUCUAUUUUUUGGAACACUUUUCUGUGCUUGGCAGAAUAUCUUCUUGUAGGUCAUUAUUAAUGCUUGGAUGGUGGUGUAGAGCCGAGUCUGUACGU